CCUACGGGAGACAGCAGUGAGGAAUAUUGGUCAAUGGCCGGAAGGCUGAACCAGCCAUGCCGCGUGAAGGUCAGUGCCCUAUGGGCGUUAAACUUCUUUUGUGCGGGAGCAAUAAUGGUCACGUGUGGCCAGACGAGAGUACCGUACGAAUAAGCAUCGGCUAACUCCGUGCCAGCAGCCGCGGUAAUACGGGGGAUGCAAGCGUUAUCCGGAUUUAUUGGGUUUAAAGGGUGCGUAGGCUGUGAGGUAAGUCAGCGGUGAAAUGCCCCCGCUCAACGGGGUGAAGUGCCAUUGAUACUGCCUGGCUGGUAUGCGGAUGCGGUGGGAGGAAUGAGUGGUGUAGCGGUGAAAUGCAUAGAUAUCACACAGAACACCGAUUGCGAAGGCAUCUCACGAGUCCGCGAUUGACGCUGAUGCACGAAAGCGUGGGUAUCAAACAGGAUUAGAUACCCCAGUAGUC
RNAcentral lists this ribosomal RNA (460 nucleotides) under uncultured bacterium. RNAcentral's name for it is "partial 16S ribosomal RNA". It matches the Rfam family "Bacterial small subunit ribosomal RNA", at positions 338 to 795 of the family's 1533-position model. The record is from RNAcentral.